UCCAUGGUUAAUCCACAUCAGCUUUGGCGGUUAAUACUGAAUUUUUGAUCAUUUCACCCUCCCAGCUUCUCAUGUUGUUGCAGUUACGCAUUGUUCAUCAUUGUGUGCCUAUCCACGUUCCAAACAGUUUGCACACAUAAAUGGCCUCAUGUAAUGGUUACCAAACUUCAAUUCCAACCCUUCUGCUUCCUCACCUUUUCCAAUUCUUUUCAAUUUUACGGCUCCUCCUUCAACCUUCAUCAAACCACAUAGCAAAAUAACACCUUCCUGAGAAUGAGAAAACAGAGAUAACAAAAAAAUCGUGAGAGAGUUUGCGAAGAAACCUCAACUAAGAAAUCUGUUGUUGUUGAUGUGAACAGAUUGAACCGUUCCAGAUCGCUUAUCAUCGUCUCCGACCGUCCUCAUUAAGCAACACGAAACGAUGAGAAUUCCGGAAACAAAAACUCAGAGUGACUGGAUAAUUCUUCAAGUAGAACAACCGCUUUGAUAAAAGUUUGAAAUUUAAACGUUAAAGAUUUAAGAAUGAAUGGUGUUCUUGAAGAUUGUUGAGAACUGAGAUGGAGAUGAAGUUUGAGGCUUUGUUCCUUCUUCCUCUGCAUCUUCAUACAAAAUUGUUUCUUCUUCUUAUCGAUUUUUUUUCAAUUCUUUUGGAUUACUUACGUAAUUGAUUUCCUGUUCACGGCUGUGUUGCUUGAGGUUCAUCGACGAUGGAUGACUUCACGUUAUGGUGUAUGCGGCUGUGUCGAUCUUUGCCGGAAGGGUGAUGCUCGCGGUGAUUGGUUUUGCUUUCUGAUGAUCCUUCAUAGUGGUCGGGUUUGAUUAAACGUUGUUGUGUUGUUGAGUCGGUAUGUGCGACCACAAAGUUUUUAGGGAGUGGAGUUUGACUGAGAUAUCUGUGGAGUGAGAGAGGACUGAGGUUAGAGAGAAAUCAGGGAUUGGAGGUGGACUCAGAAGUUGAGGGAAUCGUGGGAUUGAGGAGGCUCAAAGUUCCUAUUUUCCAGGCUUUUCAAAUGUGAAUCAUGGGGCUGUGAUUCAAAUCUUACUGAUGUACAUUUUUUUGUUUUCAAUUGGUUCUCGAUGUCAACACAGAAGGUUGAUCUCAAUUGAAUUUUUUUUACUUGCAGGAUAACAUAUUGUCAAUGGAUGAAUGAACUCCAACUUCUCUUCAUGACAGUGUCCUUCCUUUCUAUAAUCUUCAAGAACGGCAUGUUGUACAUGAGAUGCAGUGGUCCAGAUUUACUUGGAUAAUACUGGUGAUCUGGAACUUAUUGGAAAAAGCCUUGAAUCUUCUGACCUCAACUUCUCAAGAUAAGGCUUCAAAUGGCUAGGUAUACGGUGGAAAGAUUACCCCAAUACAAAGAGGAGAAGUUUGGGCAUCGAAUUUUGGAGCCAAAGCAAGCUUUCUUUUUCAUUGGGCUUCUAAUUUCUUCGUCUUCUCUCUCUUUCAUGUUUGAUUUUGAUUUAGUUUUCAAAGUUCCAGGUUUCAUGGUGUUGGCUCACGCAAAAGAGGAAAGAUCCAUCACCGAUGCAGUUUCUGAUGAUGCGACGGUGUUUUUUAUUACUUUGUAUGAUUUGUUAAAUUCUGUUUGGAUAAGUUGUGACCUGAUUUUUAUGUGGGUUUAUGCAGGUUCGAUGAUGAAGCACAAGUUUGCUUGGCCAUAAAAAAGAAAGGAUGGCAAUGACAGAGAUUGAUCGGUUCUUUGUAGUAUGGUUUGAAUUUGGGGUGUUAAAUGUUGCUGGUAUUGGAAUUGAAAUAAGGGGAUGCUAGAUUAGCAAUGUUAGUUUGAAUGAUUAUAUUGCAGAAUUGGUGGGAUGAUGUCUCUUGGGAUAUCAAAGCUGUAAAUUUGAGAACAUUAGGAAGAGUGGCUCUCAUUAUUACAACUUUAUCUGAAACAGUGUUGCCGUUCAAUACUAUUCUGAAUCAUGACGCUGAUUAUGCUCCUCCUGUUGCUUCUCAUGAUACCAUUCGAAUUGAUGCGGAAAUGGAGAUACCUCUUUUGAGUCUUUCGUCAUAUGAGGAGAAGCUGGCUAAAGUGGCACAACAGUGGCAGAAUACUAUUACUGGUGUGGGUCAAAGGUUUAGCAGUCUACAUGAGUUUCGAGAGACGUUGUGUAAAUAUGCUAUUGCUCAUCAAUUUGCAUUCAAAUAUAAAAAGAGCGAUAGUCAUCGUGUGACUGUUAAAUGCAAAGCAGAAAGUUUGCUAUGUGUUAAAAGCAUUAGUAGGUUAUUUUACAGGGACUAAGCACAUUUAACCUUAUUAAAAAUGUGAAAUGACUUGAUAUCUGUGUUCUGGCAUUUUAACAGAUUGGGAAAGGAAGGAUACUAAUUGAAGGUGAAAGAGUACCCUCUUGGCCUAUGGAACAACCGUUCAGAACUAUUUAGCAGCAGCUUCUCUUGGGAUUUAUUUAUAGUUUUAUAAUCUUUUGUUGUCUAUGUUUUUGGAUUUGCCCAAAUAUUUGAAAAAAUGACUUGAAGUUGCAGCCUAAAAUAUCAGUUUUUUAUCUACUGAUGAUAAUAUGGAACAUUGAUAUUAACGUGUGACCCAAACUUUGCUUUUUCUUUACUUCCUACUAUUGAUUAUAUGCCUAACUAGCAACUUCAUAAUUUUGUUAUUCAGGUUGAUGCCAAGAGCUAAAAUGGUAAGCAAGUAGAGGUAAAGUGUGCACGUCCAAAGGAUGCCAAUCCUGGUGCAAGUAGUCGAAUGAUGGGUGGUGCUGGAAUCGUGGUGCAGAAUUGCUAAGCAAAAGAAAUUGAGAAGGAGAACUACUGCAUUUUGGAAUCUCAAAUUCAAAUGCUAUUAGGUCGUAUCAGAAUCCAGAGUUUCCUCAAAUUGCAGAGGAGAAAAUCUUAGGCAUUGGUGCCAACAAUAAACAGCCUGUUCUGAAAUGGGAGAAUAAUAUGGCAUGGCCUGGAAAACUCAUUCUUACUGAUAAAGCCAUCUAUUUUGAGGCAGUUGGCUUACUGGUAAUUAAGAGAGCCAUGAGAUUGGAUGUUACAUAUGAUGGAUUGAAGCUACCUUAUCGGCUGUGACAACGAACUUGGAAAAUUACAUACUAGCCAUCCUGAGGCCCGUGACAAAGUUGGUGGCAUGAGCAUUAUGCAUAUAGACGGUCUCCGAAAAUUCACGAUGCUAUGGCUGCAUAAGACGGAGGAGGUUCGAGCUGAUAGAACUCAUUAUGCAAGAAAUAUAACAGGAGACAUAUAUUAGUCCGGGUGGAUCAGUGAGAUGUAUGGUUACUCAUUUGGUGCGGCUGAGAUGAAACUAAAGCACAUUAUAAGCAGUGAGAUACUGAUACACCCGGGAUAUGUUCCCGUGCUGAACGUCAAAUAUCGAGCUUUUCAAUAUGGAUUGCUAUUCAGUGUCAGGAAUUGGAACUUCGACAAAGCAGGCUGAAUAGGUCAUGUAACAUGUUCCAUCUAUGGUAAUCUACAUAACUGACGUGUCUCAUAUUGAUUACAAUUUACAACCACUUAUUUUAUUUGAAGUAGUCUCAUAUAUUGAUUACAAUCACUUAUUUUACUUGAUGCAAUGAAGUCCUGUGUAGAUAGCUUCUACAUAAGGUGAAGUUAUGGAACUAGGAAUCUGGAAAGAUUUUCCUGAUGAUUUAUUUGAGGCGGUAAUUGCACAGCUUGCUAUUGCCACUUUUUACGUUUUUGUUCUGUAUGCCGUCAAUGAAGUUCUUUGCUGGCUUCUCAAAGCUUUUCUCAGCAUUGUGCCCAAGUCCCAUAAGAAAAUUCGUGGUUUUACACCAUAACGCAUGAAAAUGUGAAUUCAGGAGCCAUGUAUGACCCUUCUUUGAAAAAGUGGCAUCAUCCUUCUAUAUCAGCAAUGCCCACAAAGUUGAUUGUUUUGCCAGCUCGGUUAGUAAGGGUCUGGUCUGGCGUUGUUGUAGGGAUGAUCUAUUAGCUCCCAUAAGAAUAACAGUGAGAAAUAUUUGUUGCAUAAAACUAUUUCAUGAUAAAAUGAUAGUGUACUGUAAAAGUAUAUUUGUAGAAGCGUAUAUGAUUAAACUCAAUUUUAUUUUUGACAUUCAACUA
Vicia villosa (hairy vetch) is the source of this 4039-nucleotide long non-coding RNA. RefSeq lists it as uncharacterized. The record is from RefSeq and is a predicted model, not a curated record. Lineage: Eukaryota; Viridiplantae; Streptophyta; Magnoliopsida; Fabales; Fabaceae. The transcript has 12 exons.